GCUUGUUGCUGUGUUUUAGGAGCAUUAGGGAAAAUACAGAUAGUCUGGCAUUUUAUUACUCAUAUUUCUCUGCUCUUAAUGACUGAAUGGAGCACGACUUGCUAAUGAACUAGGCAGAAAUGAAUGCAUUUGUGGCACUAAUUGAAAUAAACCCAAGGUCUGGCUUUUCAAAAGGAGCAAAACCUCUAGCACUCUCAAAAAAAAAAAAAAAAAAAAAAAAAAANNNNNNNNNNCCUCUUUUCUGCCUUUAACCCCUGCCUGCUGUCUUUCACUACAGCUGCGUUCUGGUGUAACAGAGCAAGGCACCCUCUGCUUGCAGGAACCAGGGAUUCGUGGUGCAGGAUGCUGGGGAAAGGGCUUGGUGUUGCUCCCUUCCUCGUCUAUAAAAGCAGCUCAUUAGGGGCAGUAGGGUUCCCAGGUAGCAGAGGGUGAUGUGGAGAUGGCUUGGGAGCACGUGGAUGGAGCUCUGUCCUUCAUCAAGAGCAUCUCCACUGCUCCUCCCUUCAAGACUAUGGCUUGAAUAAGUACAAAGAACAAACAAAAUCCACAAGGAGUUGGCUUGACUGGGAAGUUCCUUAUAGGCAUUGUGGGGGGAUUUAUAAGAAAAAAAAAAAGGGCAGACCCUGGAAACAAUCUCCCCAAGGAUCUGCUGAGAACAAAUACAGAACAAGGAGCCAUGAAAAUAGGUUCCUGGGUAGUAGGUA
RNAcentral lists this long non-coding RNA (704 nucleotides) under Anser brachyrhynchus (Pink-footed goose). RNAcentral describes it as "lncRNA (ENSABRG00000009732.1)". Lineage: Eukaryota; Metazoa; Chordata; Aves; Anseriformes; Anatidae. The record is from RNAcentral.